RNAcentral lists this ribosomal RNA (259 nucleotides) under uncultured bacterium. Its description in RNAcentral is "partial 16S ribosomal RNA". It matches the Rfam family "Bacterial small subunit ribosomal RNA", at positions 524 to 776 of the family's 1533-position model. The record is from RNAcentral.
UACGUAGGGUCCGAGCGUUGUCCGGAAUUACUGGGCGUAAAGAGCUCGUAGGUGGUUUGUCGCGUUGUUCGUGAAAACUCACAGCUCAACUGUGGGCGUGCGGGCGAUACGGGCAGACUGGAGUGACUGGCAGGGGAGACGUGGAAUUCCUGGUGUAGCGGUGAAAUGCGCAGAUAUCAGGAGGAACACCGGUGGCGAAGGCGGCGUCCUGGACCGAACACUGACACUGAGGAGCGAAAAGCCAGGGGAGGCAAACGGG